AUUGAACGCUGGCGGCAUGCCUUACACAUGCAAGUCGAACGGUAACGCGGGGCAACCUGGCGACGAGUGGCGAACGGGUGAGUAAUGCAUCGGAACGUGCCCAGUAGUGGGGGAUAGCCCGGCGAAAGCCGGAUUAAUACCGCAUACGACCUACGGGUGAAAGGGGGGGAUCGCAAGACCUCUCGCUAUUGGAGCGGCCGAUGUCAGAUUAGGUAGUUGGUGGGGUAAAGGCCUACCAAGCCUACGAUCUGUAGCUGGUCUGAGAGGACGACCAGCCACACUGGGACUGAGACACGGCCCAGACUCCUACGGGAGGCAGCAGUGGGGAAUUUUGGACAAUGGGCGAAAGCCUGAUCCAGCCAUGCCGCGUGCGGGAAGAAGGCCUUCGGGUUGUAAACCGCUUUUGUCGGGGAAGAAAUCUUCUGGGCUAAUACCUCGGGAGGAUGACGGUACCCGAAGAAUAAGCACCGGCUAACUACGUGCCAGGCGCCGCAGUAA
RNAcentral lists this ribosomal RNA (498 nucleotides) under uncultured bacterium. RNAcentral's name for it is "partial 16S ribosomal RNA". It matches the Rfam family "Bacterial small subunit ribosomal RNA", at positions 29 to 523 of the family's 1533-position model. The record is from RNAcentral.